GCGAAGUAGUUCAGAGCUUUUUAGAAAGCUAAAACUUAUAAUUUUCUUAAUUUUCAAAGUGUAUAUCACUGAUGCGUUUUGUUUUAAUCUGUGUCAAAAAAGCGUUUACCAGAACGUAAUAGGUGUUUGCACAUAACGUAAUUGGUGUUUGGACAUAACGUAAUAGGUGUUUGCACAUAACGUAAUAGAUGUUUGGACAUAAUGUAAUAGGCAUUUGCACAUAACUUACAUGGUGUUUGCACAUAAUGUAAGCGGUAUUUGCACAUAACGUAAUAGUGUUUGCACAUAAUGAUGUAGUUGUUAUACAUAACUUAAUAGGUAUUUGCACAUAACGCAAUAGGUCUUUGCACAUAAGGUAAACUAUGUUUGCACAUAGGGUAAACGAUGUUUGCACAUAAGGGGAACGAUGUUUGCACAAAAGGUAAACGAGAAUUGCACAAAACGUAUAAGUUG
RNAcentral lists this long non-coding RNA (453 nucleotides) under Mytilus galloprovincialis (Mediterranean mussel). Lineage: Eukaryota; Metazoa; Mollusca; Bivalvia; Mytilida; Mytilidae. The record is from RNAcentral.